This 73-nucleotide transfer RNA is filed under the name Paramuricea clavata. It matches the Rfam family "tRNA". Rfam says of the family: Transfer RNA (tRNA) molecules are approximately 80 nucleotides in length. Their secondary structure includes four short double-helical elements and three loops (D, anti-codon, and T loops). Lineage: Eukaryota; Metazoa; Cnidaria; Anthozoa; Malacalcyonacea; Plexauridae. The record is from Rfam by way of RNAcentral.
GACCGCGUAGCUCAGUUAGCAGAGCAUUGGGCUAGUAUUCCAAAGGUCGUAGGUUUGAUUCCCACCGUGGCCG